UCGUGACGUUUAAAUAGUCCUUUGUGGAACUGUCGCGAUUUUAUGACAUCACACCCCAAGCGGCGUACUGGUAUCUGACUCGUUUCGGGUUAACCCUUCGCCAUGAGAGCCAAGUGGAGAAAAAAGCGCAUGCGCAGGCUGAAGCGCAAAAGGAGAAAGAUGAGGCAGAGGUCCAAGUAAGGUGUCCCCUGGAGGAAGUGGAUGUGAUGUUGUCACUUUGCCAGUACUCUGAGGACAUUGGAGAGCCAGGAUGCCUCAUGAUGAAGUGUUGACUGAAUCAGGCACAAGUUGCUGAUCAAGGUGGACUCUGAUUGUUUGUUCCUUUCAACCCUUUUUUUCUCCAAAAUUCAAACUUUUGUUUCUAUGCUUUGAUUAAAGGUUUGUGGGUUUAAAAGUA
Doryrhamphus excisus (bluestripe pipefish) is the source of this 397-nucleotide long non-coding RNA. RefSeq lists it as uncharacterized. The record is from RefSeq and is a predicted model, not a curated record. Lineage: Eukaryota; Metazoa; Chordata; Actinopteri; Syngnathiformes; Syngnathidae.